CCUACGGGAGGCAGCAGUGGGGAAUAUUGCACAAUGGGGGGAACCCUGAUGCAGCAAUGCCCCGUGAAGGAUGACGGUUUUCGGAUUGUAAACUUCUUUUGUACGGGACGAAGAAAGUGACGGUACCGUAAGAAUAAGCCACGGCUAACUACGUGCCAGCAGCCGCGGUAAUACGUAGGUGGCAAGCGUUAUCCGGAUUUACUGGGUGUAAAGGGCGAGUAGGCGGGAUUGCAAGUCAGAUGUGAAAACUAUGGGCUCAACCGAUAGGGUGCAUUUGAAACUGCAGUUCUUGAGUGAUGGAGAGGCAGGCGGAAUGUCCGGUGUAGCGGUGGAAUGCGUAGAUAUCUGGAGGAACACCAGUGGCGAAGGCGACUAUCUGGCACAUAACUGACGCUGAGGAGCGAAAGCGUGGGUAGCAAACAGGAUUAGAUACCCUUGUAGUC
This 443-nucleotide ribosomal RNA is filed under the name uncultured bacterium. RNAcentral's name for it is "partial 16S ribosomal RNA". It matches the Rfam family "Bacterial small subunit ribosomal RNA", at positions 338 to 795 of the family's 1533-position model. The record is from RNAcentral.